This 492-nucleotide ribosomal RNA is filed under the name uncultured bacterium. RNAcentral's name for it is "partial 16S ribosomal RNA". It matches the Rfam family "Bacterial small subunit ribosomal RNA", at positions 29 to 507 of the family's 1533-position model. The record is from RNAcentral.
AGUGAACGCUGGCGGUAGGCCUAACACAUGCAAGUCGAACGGCAGCACAGUAAGAGCUUGCUCUUACGGGUGGCGAGUGGCGGACGGGUGAGGAAUACAUCGGAAUUUACUUUUUCGUGGGGGAUAACGUAGGGAAACUUACGCUAAUACCGCAUACGACCUACGGGUGAAAGCAGGGGAUCUUCGGACCUUGCGCGAUUCAAUGAGCCGAUGUCGGAUUAGCUAGUUGGCGGGGUAAAGGCCCACCAAGGCGACGAUCCGUAGCUGGUCUGAGAGGAUGAUCAGCCACACUGGAACUGAGACACGGUCCAGACUCCUACGGGAGGCAGCAGUGGGGAAUAUUGGACAAUGGGCGCAAGCCUGAUCCAGCCAUACCGCGUGAGUGAAGAAGGUCUUCGGGUUGUAAAGCCCUUUUGUUGGGAAAGAAAAGCAGCAGGUUAAUACCCGGCUGUUCUGACGGUACCCAAAGAAUAAGCACCGGCUAACUUCGUG